AUUGAACGCUGGCGGCAGGCCUAACACAUGCAAGUCGAGCGAGCGGCGGACGGGUGAGUAUUGUAUGUGGAUGUGCCCGAUAGAGGGGGAUAACUACUGGAAACUUUGGCUAAUACCGCAUACUAUCGGGUGAACCGAUAUGGGAUUAGCUAGUGGGUGGGGUAAAGGCUCACCUAGGCGACGUUCUCUAUCUGGUCUGAGAGGAUGAACAGCCGCACUGGGACUGAGACACUGCCCAGACUCUGACGGGAGGCAGAAGUGGGGAAGAUUGCACAAUGGGCGCAAGCCUGAUGCAGCCAUGCCGCGUGUAUGAAGAAGGCCUUAGGGUUGUAAAGUACUUUCAGCGGUGAGGCGUUACCCGCAGAAGAAGCACCGGCUAACUCCGUGCCAGCAGCCGCGGUAAUAC
RNAcentral lists this ribosomal RNA (406 nucleotides) under uncultured bacterium. RNAcentral's name for it is "partial 16S ribosomal RNA". It matches the Rfam family "Bacterial small subunit ribosomal RNA", at positions 30 to 526 of the family's 1533-position model. The record is from RNAcentral.